AGUCAGGGGUCGCGUCAUACGGCUGCUAUUCCCAAUGAUGUGGUGGACAACAAAGAUUAGCAGAGCAACAGCAAGGUUGGUUUUCUUGGCACCAUUCUGAGUAAACUUUUGAUCCCAGAGGAUCAGCAGUCUCAGAAAUACUCAAACCAGCCCAUCUGGCACCAACAAUCAUGCCACAGUCAAAGUCACUGAGAUCACAUUUUUUCUGAUCACACCAUUCUGGUGUUUGAUGUGAACAUUAAAUGUUCUGUAAAUGAGAUUUCAAAAAGCAAUAUAGCAGCAAACAACUAUUUUCUAUUACUACUAUUAUGUAAAGAUAAAUGGCGUCUUGAGCUGAUCACUAAGUCACACCCCCUUUAUAAAUGUUUUAAUCUUAGUUUCUCUUUCUUUGUUUUGGUAGCUGGUCAGGUAACAUGCACCUUUUGACCCUCCCCACUUCAGAAACACACAGGGAGUCACGUCCAAAAUUUCCACAACUGAAGAAAUCACGCUUUCAUAAAAAAAAAAAAAAGGCCUCUGACAAAGAGAGAGAUGAUACUGGGCACAGGCAGAUGUGCCACGGGGACUACUGGCUCAAAUCCCAGUCGGCCGGUGGGCCAUCAAAGCAUCCGUUAAGUUUUAAAAGUUUUUAUCUGUGUCACAUCAGUGUCUUUAUCUGCUCAGUCAGUGUCAGUCCUGCGGUCCCAGCAGAUAAUUCCAAGGCUGAAUUUUAGUCCGGGUCCGACCGUGGAACCAGUAGGCUACUGGUCUGGCUUUACCAAGAUGGAAAGACCCACAAGUUGCUAAUGGGCUCCAGCUUGACGCAGAACUGGCUUUUCUUCCCCUCAAUGUAGUAAUUCUAUCACCCUCAAAACGCAGGCAGAGGCAGACAGCAGUAAGGAGGACAUCCACAGAUAAAUCCAUUUCAAGUGUACUUUGAAUCUAAUUUAUGAUGGUCACCUGCUCACAGGAUGUCAACACAGAAAUUGUGUUCGCUGCAUACUUCAUAAACAGAGAAAUGGAAAGAAAAACAAAGGUCAUAUAGUGCCCCUGGUGGAAGGUCAGUGUGACUGGUAGGCAGCUACAGAGGGCCAAUACUGCCACCUGAAGGAAAAGAGUGCACCUCCUAUUCUUUAUCUCCCAUGUUAACAGUGUUUAAAUGUAGCUGUAGAACCAUUUGCAGUGUGUAAUGUAUUGGAAACAAUUUAAAAUCACAUUUUAAUGAUUGAGUACAAUGUCUUGAUUAAAUGGGGCAAAUAUAACAAAACACUCAGACACUCAGACAAGAAACAAAUAUGCUCAAUGCAAGCAACCUCUUUGAGUAACUGCUCGAUGAUAAUAUAACAAACUAUUUGCAAUCUGUGGAUAUUAAACUUAGUAGCCCGUCUUACGAUCUUAUUCAAACAAGGGUGGUUAAUGCAUUAAGGUCCUGCAUCUUAGCCAAUGUAUGAAAGAGAAAACAGUCAAGUAAAAUGUAAAGUACCACACAAUGUACUGCACAAUGCAUGCAUUGGAAACACAAUUUGUUAGAAGACGCACAGACUUAAGUGAAAGGAAAUGUCGUGUGUAUGUGCUCAUCAUGACACCCCAUACUACGCCUUCUGCAGGUUCAUUAUUAUGUCUUUUAAAAAGAGAUCAUUUCUCACUAAAUAUGGGAUCAGACGUUAAAUGAGAAUGGUGCUGACCAAAAGGUCAGAGUGAGCAAUGCUGUGCCAUUCACUACCAUCUGUCCUUGAGGUGCCAUUGAGCAAGGCUUUUAAACCCCAGAUUCACCAGUAGAGCUACUUAGUGCGCUGUGCGCCUCUCCAAAUGACCAUGUAUGCAACUGUGUCAGUGUGAUGCAGACAACUGCUAAAAUAGAACACGCGUCCCAAAAUAGCACAAUACUUACAUAUAUUUGUGGCUGUGAGUGGGUAUUAAGUGAGUACCUUGAUUUCCACAGCCCUCAUUUGCUAUGAUGGGGAGACAUGAAGAAAGAGAGGCAGACAAAUAGAGAGGAAUAGAAGGAUCUACCAUAAAUGCAGACUGUGAUCUGUGAAGGAUGAAUGAAGGUAAUGUGUACAUGUUGGAGGUUUUUAUUUCAUACUAAAGCCAUCAGCGCCUCUCUGUGGUCAAACAGCCGUACAGCAGCAGAAAGGUUGACUUUUAAACACUGCAUUCGACAACACCGUUUGUAAAAGACCGUGCUGAACUGACAAUCAGCACAAAACUAAAUAAAGUAAAAUGGCUACAGCA
Seriola aureovittata is the source of this 2214-nucleotide long non-coding RNA. RefSeq lists it as uncharacterized. The transcript has 3 exons. The record is from RefSeq and is a predicted model, not a curated record. NCBI's taxonomy places the organism in Eukaryota, Metazoa, Chordata, Actinopteri, Carangiformes, Carangidae.